UGGGGAAUAUUGCGCAAUGGAGGAAACUCUGACGCAGCGACGCCGCGUGGGUGAAGAAGGCCUUAGGGUUGUAAAGCCCUUUCAGUGGGAAAGAUGAUGACGGUACCCACAGAAGAAGCCCCGGCUAACUCCGUGCCAGCAGCCGCGGUAAUACGGAGGGGGCCAGCGUUGUUCGGAAUUACUGGGCGUAAAGGGCGCGUAGGCGGUUGAUCAAGUCAGGAGUGAAAUCCUCGGGCUUAACCCGGGAACUGCUCCUGAAACUGGUCGACUGGAGUACGGUAGAGGAUGGUGGAAUUCCCCGUGUAGAGGUGAAAUUCGUAGAUAUGGGGAGGAAGACCGGAGGCGAAGGCGGCCAUCUGGACCGAAACUGACGCUAAGGCGCGAAAGCGUGGGGAGCAAA
Molecule: ribosomal RNA, 400 nt
Filed under: uncultured bacterium
Lineage: Bacteria
Description: bacterial SSU rRNA
Rfam family: Bacterial small subunit ribosomal RNA
Source: RNAcentral